UAGGGAAUCUUCGGCAAUGGACGGAAGUCUGACCGAGCAACGCCGCGUGAGUGAAGAAGGUUUUCGGAUCGCAAAGCUCUGUUGUAAGAGAAGAACGAGUAUGAGAGUGGAAAGUUCAUACUGUGACGGUAUCUUACCAGAAAGGGACGGCUAACUACGUGCCAGCAGCCGCGGUAAUACGUAGGUCCCGAGCGUUGUCCGGAUUUAUUGGGCGUAAAGCGAGCGCAGGCGGUUAGAUAAGUCUGAAGUUAAAGGCUGUGGCUUAACCAUAGUACGCUUUGGAAACUGUUUAACUUGAGUGCAAGAGGGGAGAGUGGAAUUCCAUGUGUAGCGGUGAAAUGCGUAGAUAUAUGGAGGAACACCGAUGGCGAAAGCGGCUCUCUGGCUUGUAACUGACGCUGAGGCUCGAAAGCGUGGGGAGCAAACAGGAUUAGAUACCCUGGUAGUCCACGCCGUAAACGAUGAGUGCUAGGUGUUAGACCCUUUCCGGGGUUUAGUGCCGUAGCUAACGCAUUAAGCACUCCGCCUGGGGAGUACGACCGCAAGGUUG
Molecule: ribosomal RNA, 550 nt
Filed under: uncultured bacterium
Lineage: Bacteria
Description: bacterial SSU rRNA
Rfam family: Bacterial small subunit ribosomal RNA
Source: RNAcentral